AGGGUACAUACGCACGAGGUGGAGCACAGCGAAAGAAGGCAGCUGAAAAACGUACCAUCCAGGGCACCGUAGCACUUCCUCCAUAAGCAUUCUGAGCACUUCUGUAUUGAGGUUUAUGGCUGAUAAAUUUGCUGUGGUUUUGGAUGCCUUGUUGCUCUGUUGGUGGACUUUGUGAUAUCAAGCACAAGAAGUCAUGUCUCUUCCCAGAUGUUUAGCUUUGAAAGCAGCAGCGUUUGAGAAUUCAAGUUAUGUGUGGACUUCACAGCAAGUCAUCUUAAAAUCUGAAUGCUUAGAGUGCAACUUCAGCUCUACGUACAGUUCGGAGAUGGAUUUGCACCAGCUAAUGGUUCCCGACUCAGAGGGCUGUGAUUUUCUGGCGCUUGCUGUCACAGGAGGCUGCGGAGGCAAACAGUAUUGGAUGUUCAGACAGGGAGUACGCAAGUUCGUAGGCACCGGGUACGCAAAUGGGUGCUGGAAGGGCUGUUUGAUACGACAGUUCUGGAUGCUCUGGAAAUACGAGGGGAACAGACCAAAGAGGUGGCUUGAUUUGGAAGUUCUGCUUAAAUAGCAUCUUAUUGCCGCUCAAAGGCAGAACCGGUCGGUUCCCCUGGACCAGGAAUCAGAGCCUGUAGGUGUUUUGUAAGCCUUUACGUCUAGGGUAUAUUUCAGUAUAAGUAAUUCGAUAGAUGUCUACAAAUGUGUUUAAAAAAAAAUGCAUCCAUGAAAACGUUAUGGAAAAAUUGUCAUGGAAGCAAAUAAUCGCUAGAAUAAAAUUGUAUUGUUUUAUUUGGGAGGGGGUGAUUGGAUUCUAAAGUGAAAAUAAUGAACCCAUAUCUCCCCAAAACAGCCAUUUAAGGUAUGUGUUACGAUGCCUAUUACACUCUGUAAAGUCAUUAAAAUGAUCACUUUCAGACUGUAAAA
Molecule: non-coding RNA, 921 nt
Organism: Phalacrocorax carbo (great cormorant)
Lineage: Eukaryota; Metazoa; Chordata; Aves; Suliformes; Phalacrocoracidae
Source: RefSeq, a predicted model, not a curated record